GUCCAAUACUGUCCGUUUCAACUUGCUGGAUUCUGAGAACCUCCAAUUCUCAUAACAUCUAAGUAUGAUUUCUUAUCAAGUUUACGAGCAAAUAAACCUUUGAAAUAAUCUAUAGCUCCAAUAUUUCUGAACUUUGCUGGAUUUUCAGAAGAAAUGAUACUCGGAGCAGGACCAAUUUGUCCAUCAAGUUUUGUGCUGUAAAAUGUUGCAAUUGAGAGUCUUUCCUUUUCGCUGUUAACCACUGCUCUGUGCUCAAUGCUACGGUAGGCUCCAUUUGUCACUAUCUCCA
RNAcentral lists this unclassified non-coding RNA (289 nucleotides) under Hevea brasiliensis (rubber tree). The record is from RNAcentral. Lineage: Eukaryota; Viridiplantae; Streptophyta; Magnoliopsida; Malpighiales; Euphorbiaceae.